Long non-coding RNA from Nannospalax galili (Upper Galilee mountains blind mole rat), 493 nucleotides. RefSeq lists it as uncharacterized. The transcript is spliced from 3 exons. The record is from RefSeq and is a predicted model, not a curated record. Lineage: Eukaryota; Metazoa; Chordata; Mammalia; Rodentia; Spalacidae.
ACUGCUUCCUGUUCCCAGUCCUGCUCUAUCUAGUGGUCUCCACUGUGAUUGUGCUGUUACAAUCAGAAGGGCUUUGUGGCUAUCUUUCUCUGAACAGAGGCUCAGCACAACUGCUUUUCUCUGUCUUGUCACGCCCCACAAAUUGUUCUGUCUGUCCUCUUCUGGUGCUUGCCCUGUUUUGGCAGAGGGUCUGCAAGGUGUCAGCCUCUAUGGGACAGUGUGUGCAACAUCAUGAGGGCCAGGCUGUGACACCCUGGACAGUGACCAGUCAGCAAAGGUGGAUCCCAGGUCAUACAUGCUUCAGAGACAACAAAGAAUGAGUUGGCAAAGUUAGGUGGCAUUGCUGGAGCAGGCCUCUCUGUGCUCAGCCUCGUUACGAAGUGUGGACCCCUUGUGUCUUCCAAUGUCGCCUGUCCUUCUGCUUCUCAGCAUGUGACAAGGUCCUCCCCAGUGCAGCUGCCUGAUCUGGUUGUCCCCCACCAUCAGAACAAUG